CACGGGGGGAGCAAGCGUUGUUCGGAAUCACUGGGCGUAAAGGGCGUGUAGGCGGUUAGGUAAGUGGAAUGUGAAAUGCCUCGGCUUACCCGAGGCACUGCAUCCCAAACUGCUUGACUUGAGUACGGGAGAGGAUGAAGGAAUUCCUGGUGUAGCGGUGAAAUGCGUAGAUAUCAGGAGGAACACCGGUGGCGAAAGCGUUCAUCUGGCCCGUAACUGACGCUGAGGCGCGAAAGCUAGGGGAGCAAACGGG
RNAcentral lists this ribosomal RNA (253 nucleotides) under uncultured bacterium. RNAcentral describes it as "partial 16S ribosomal RNA". It matches the Rfam family "Bacterial small subunit ribosomal RNA", at positions 524 to 776 of the family's 1533-position model. The record is from RNAcentral.